This 252-nucleotide ribosomal RNA is filed under the name uncultured bacterium. Its description in RNAcentral is "partial 16S ribosomal RNA". It matches the Rfam family "Bacterial small subunit ribosomal RNA", at positions 524 to 776 of the family's 1533-position model. The record is from RNAcentral.
UACGUAGGGGGCAAGCGUUGUCCGGAAUCAUUGGGCGUAAAGAGCGUGUAGGCGGCCAGAUAAGUCCGCUGUGAAAUCUUGAGGCUCAACUUCGAGCUGUCGGUGGAAACUGUCUGGCUAGAGUCCGGAAGAGGAGAAUGGAAUUCCUGGUGUAGCGGUGAAAUGCGCAGAUAUCAGGAAGAACACCCGUGGCGAAGGCGGUUCUCUGGGACGGUACUGACGCUGAGACGCGAAAGCGUGGGAGCGAACAGG